GACGAACGCUGGCGGCGUGCUUAACACAUGCAAGUCGAACGGAAAGGCCCUGCUUUUGUGGGGUGCCCGAGUGGCGAACGGGCGAGUAACACGUGAGUAACCUGCCCUUGACUUUGGGAUAACUUCAGGAAACUGGGGCUAAUACCGGAUAGGAGCUCCUGCUGCAUGGUGGGGGUUGGAAAGUUUCGGCGGUUGGGGAUGGACUCGCGGCUUAUCAGCUUGUUGGUGGGGUAGUGGCUUACCAAGGCUUUGACGGGUAGCCGGCCUGAGAGGGUGACCGGCCACAUUGGGACUGAGAUACGGCCCAGACUCCUACGGGAGGCAGCAGUGGGGAAUAUUGCACAAUGGGCGGAAGCCUGAUGCAGCAACGCCGCGUGCGGGAUGACGGCCUUCGGGUUGUAAACCGCUUUCGCCUGUGACGAAGCGUGAGUGACGGUAAUGGGUAAAGAAGCACCGGCUAACUACGUG
This 468-nucleotide ribosomal RNA is filed under the name uncultured bacterium. Its description in RNAcentral is "partial 16S ribosomal RNA". It matches the Rfam family "Bacterial small subunit ribosomal RNA", at positions 28 to 507 of the family's 1533-position model. The record is from RNAcentral.